RNAcentral lists this transfer RNA (83 nucleotides) under Lachnospiraceae bacterium. RNAcentral's name for it is "tRNA-Leu". It matches the Rfam family "tRNA". Rfam says of the family: Transfer RNA (tRNA) molecules are approximately 80 nucleotides in length. Their secondary structure includes four short double-helical elements and three loops (D, anti-codon, and T loops). Lineage: Bacteria; Bacillati; Bacillota; Clostridia; Lachnospirales; Lachnospiraceae. The record is from RNAcentral.
GCGGGAAUGCUGGAAUUGGCAGACAGGCAUGACUAAGGAUCAUGUGUCGUCACGACGUGCGGGUUCAAGUCCCGCUUUCCGCA